UACGGAGGGGGCUAGCGUUGUUCGGAAUUACUGGGCGUAAAGGGCUCGUAGGCGGCCAACUAAGUCGGAUGUGAAAUCCCCAGGCUCAACUUGGGAACUGCAUCCGAUACUGGAUGGCUUGAAUUCGGGAGAGGGAUGCAGAAUUCCAGGUGUAGCGGUGAAAUGCGUAGAUAUCUGGAGGAAUACCGGUGGCGAAGGCGGCAUCCUGGACCGACAUUGACGCUGAGGAGCGAAAGCUAGGGGAGCAAACGGG
This 253-nucleotide ribosomal RNA is filed under the name uncultured bacterium. Its description in RNAcentral is "partial 16S ribosomal RNA". It matches the Rfam family "Bacterial small subunit ribosomal RNA", at positions 524 to 776 of the family's 1533-position model. The record is from RNAcentral.